CACCGCUCAAGCCUCCGCGCUUGGUGUUGGGGACUGCGAGGUGCUGCCCUCUGGGCGCAUAUCCUCGCAGCCCUGAAAUGCAGUGGCGGCCCCCAGCGCGGCUUCUCCUUAGCGCAGUAGAGUUUUCACGCUUCGCUUCGGGACGCCUGGGACGCCUGCCGUAAAACGCAGCCGGGACCUCGCGGUCUCGCUACACCCUCUCUAGG
Molecule: unclassified non-coding RNA, 206 nt
Filed under: uncultured Sordariomycetes
Lineage: Eukaryota; Fungi; Ascomycota; Sordariomycetes
Description: sequence contains ITS2
Source: RNAcentral